UGCAGACGUUCGGUUCGACAACGACAACCCGUGUGGUCAGUUGGCGUUCCUUGUGCACCGGACGACGGUGGCACGGAGCGGCCGGCGCAUCACGACGGACAGCUCCUGCUUCUCGGCGAACUCCACCGGCUCACCGGGGACCUGGAGCCACUCGAACUCGGCGACGAGACUGGCCACGAAGAACUCGAGGUGCAGCAGAGCGAGCGCCAUCCCGGGGCAGAUCCGCCGCCCGGCGCCGAACGGUAUCAUCUUGACCUCCUUCGCGCCGGUGAGGUCAACGUCCGCGCCCUCGCCGCCGGGCAGGAACCGCUCCGGCCGGAACCGCAGCGGGUCGGGCCACACCGCCUCGUCGAGCCCCAGCGCGACGAGCGUGAAGUUGAGGGACGCGCGCCGCGGCACGCGGAAGCCUUCGAUGGUCGCGUGGUCGCCACCGCCGUCGUCGUCUUGGAUGCCGGUCGCGGCGUGCGGGAUCGCGAAGUGGCCCGGCGGGUGGCGGCGGAGCCCCUCCAGGACCACUGCGCGAAGGUACGGCAUCCGCGGCAGGUCCUGCUCCUGGACGCCCGCGCCGCCGGUGACCUGGUGGAUCUCGGCCCGGAGCCUUGCUUGGAUCUCCGGAUGCGCCACGAGGUUGGCCAUGAUCCAUUGCGCCUCGGUCGCCGUGUUGUCGGUGCCGACGGCCACGAACUCGGCGCACAAGCUCACCAUCUCGCCCUCCGUGAGGUUCCUGCCCCCGUCCUCGGGGAUCCGGAGGUCGAGUAGCGUGUCCACGUACGUGUCCGCGCCGGCGUUGGCGUCGGAGCCUCGUUGCGCGCGGCACGCCCGUAUGAGAGGGGCGAAGAGCUCCUCCUGCCGGCGGCGGAGGGACAGCAUCUGCUUCCACCGGCGCCGGAACAGGAGGCUGGUGAGCGCGGGGCACACGUCGAACACCUGGAAGCCGAGCACCGACUUGAGGAACUCCCGCUGCAGCGCCUCCACGGACGCGACGACGGCGUCGGUGGCGAGGCGCUCGCCGAAGCACAUGGUGACGAGGACGUGGAACAUAGCCCGGUGCAGGAGCCCCUCGACGACGACGGCCCUGCUGCCGGCGUCGCGCGCGACGCCGGCGACGAGCCCCCGCAGCGCGCGGCGGCGGGCGGCGGCGAACCGGCCCAUGCGCGACGGGUGGAACACGUUGCCCGUGAGGUUGUGACGGAGCGCGCGCCAGACCGGGCCGUAGGCGCCGGAUGUGAUGUUGCGCUGGCCACUGGAGAAGAGGCGGAAGGGGAGGCUGGCCGGCGGCCUGUCGGCGAAGGCGGCGCCGCCCUGCACCAGCACGCGGUGCGCCACGACGUGGUCGGCGAUGAAGAUGGCCGGGCGGGACGGGAGCAGGUAGAGCGUGAAGACGGGCCCGUAGCGGGACCGCGCGGCGGAGAGGAUCCGUUCGAUGCCGAAGUUCGUUCGGCCGAGGAAGAGGAGCGGGGUGAUCAGCGACAGCAGCGACGGGCCGGGCGGGAGCGCCGGCGGCGGUCCGGUGGCGGUGAACGAACGGAGGAUGGAGAGGAGGCCGAUGACUGCGAUGCAGAUGGCUACGGUGAGGGAGUAGUAGAGCAAGUCUUCCAUGGCUGCCGGUGAGUGCAGCUGCCAGUGCCAAUGUCAGGAAGGAGAGGAGACGAUGCAAUUUUAUAUUGUAUGUUAUGUUAUUUAUAAAGCAAUUACAAUUAAAAUUGACGGUAGAAAGGUGACUUUAGCCUGAGGCAUCAUUUUAGCACGGUGCAGCAGGCCAGCAGCUGAGCAAUGCAACUGUGCAAAGGACAAAAAAGGGUGCAUGUAC
RNAcentral lists this unclassified non-coding RNA (1810 nucleotides) under Zea mays. Its description in RNAcentral is "misc RNA Zm00001eb172790". The record is from RNAcentral. Lineage: Eukaryota; Viridiplantae; Streptophyta; Magnoliopsida; Poales; Poaceae.